UAAUCCUACGGGACGCAGCAGUGGGGAAUAUUGGGCAAUGGGCGCAAGCCUGACCCAGCAACGCCGCGUGAAGGAAGAAGGCUUUCGGGUUGUAAACGUCUUUUCUGAGGGACGAUAGUGACGGUACCUCAGGAAUAAGCCACGGCUAACUACGUGCCAGCAGCCGCGGUAAUACGUAGGUGGCAAGCGUUAUCCGGAUUUACUGGGUGUAAAGGGCGCGUAGGCGGGAUGGUAAGUCAGAUGUGAAAACGAUGUGCUCAAC
RNAcentral lists this ribosomal RNA (262 nucleotides) under uncultured bacterium. RNAcentral describes it as "partial 16S ribosomal RNA". It matches the Rfam family "Bacterial small subunit ribosomal RNA", at positions 334 to 613 of the family's 1533-position model. The record is from RNAcentral.